AGUGGCAGACGGGUGAGUAACAUGUAGGUAUCUGCCCUUUGGCCUGGAAUAACACGAGGAAACUUGUGCUAAUACCGGAUAAGUCUUUACGGAGAAAGCUUUAUGCACCAUUGGAUGAGCCUGCACUUGAUUAGUUUGUUGGUGGGGUAAUGGCCUACCAAGACUGUGAUCAAUAGCUGAUUUGAGAGGAUGAUCAGCCACAUUGGGACUGAGACACGGCCCAAACUCCUACGGGAGGCAGCAGUGGGGAAUCUUGCACAAUGGAGGAAACUCUGAUGCAGCGAUGCCGCGUGAGUGAAGAAGGCCUUUGGGUUGUAAAGCUCUUUCGUCGGGGAAGAAAAUGACUGUACCCGAAUAAGAAGGUCCGGCUAACUUCGUGCCAGCAGCCGCGGUAAUACGAAGGGACCUAGCGUAGUUCGGAAUUACUGGGCUUAAAGAGUUCGUAGGUGGUUGAAAAAGUUGGUGGUGAAAUCCCAGAGCUUAACUCUGGAACUGCCAUCAAAACUUUUCAGCUAGAGUAUGAUAGAGGAAAGCGGAAUUUCUAGUGUAGAGGUGAAAUUCGUAGAUAUUAGAAAGAAUACCAAUUGCGAAGGCAGCUUUCUGGAUCAUUACUGACACUGAGGAACGAAAGCAUGGGUAGCGAAGAGGAUUAGAUACCCUCGUAGUCCAUGCCGUAAACGAUGUAUGUUAGACGUUGGAAAUUUAUUUUCAGUGUCGCAGCGAAAGCGAUAACC
Molecule: ribosomal RNA, 734 nt
Filed under: uncultured Alphaproteobacteria bacterium
Lineage: Bacteria; Pseudomonadati; Pseudomonadota; Alphaproteobacteria
Description: bacterial SSU rRNA
Rfam family: Bacterial small subunit ribosomal RNA
Source: RNAcentral